CCCUUAGAUGUUCUGGGCUGCACGCGCGCUACACUGAUGAAUUCAACGAGCUCCUAACCUAGGCCGAAGGGUCCGGGUAAUCUUUGAAAUUUCAUCGUGAUGGGGAUAGAUUAUUGCAAUUAUUAAUCUUCAACGAGGAAUUCCUAGUAAGCGCGAGUCAUCAGCUCGCGUUGAUUACGUCCCUGCCCUUUGUACACACCGCCCGUCGCUCCUACCGAUUGAAUGGUCCGGUGAAAUGUUCGGACCGCGACAAGGCGGACGGUUCGCUGUCAGCUUUGCUGCGGGAAGUUCAUUAAACCUUAUCAUUUAGAGGAAGGAGAAGUCGUAACA
RNAcentral lists this ribosomal RNA (330 nucleotides) under uncultured eukaryote. Its description in RNAcentral is "partial 18S ribosomal RNA". It matches the Rfam family "Eukaryotic small subunit ribosomal RNA", at positions 1470 to 1796 of the family's 1831-position model. The record is from RNAcentral.